Long non-coding RNA from Anolis carolinensis (green anole), 2337 nucleotides. RefSeq lists it as uncharacterized. The record is from RefSeq and is a predicted model, not a curated record. The transcript is spliced from 2 exons. Lineage: Eukaryota; Metazoa; Chordata; Lepidosauria; Squamata; Anolidae.
AAAUGCGAGCGGAGGGAGGGAGGCACAGGCAGCCCUUCCUUGGUCGCCUCGGAGACCAGCCCAGGAGCGUGUGCCUAACCUGGAGAAGGAAGGCAGCUUGACAACACUUGGAGUCCCGGGACCAAGGUUUUUAGGCUUCUCUGCCCAAAAAUGCUGGAGCUUCACCAACUACAACUCCCAUGGUUCCAUAGCAUUGAGUCAGGGCGUCAAACGGCAUGAAUUCCACAGUGUAGAGCAAGCUUGCACAAUCUGUGGCCCUCCAGGUGUUUAGGACUUCAGCUCCCAGAAUCCCUGACCAUGCUGGCCAGGGCUUCUGAGAGUUGGAGUGCCAACUGUUGGAAAUAGAAACCUCCCAAGCCUUUCACUGUUCAUUUUUUAAUCUAUAUACUAUAUUUGCUAACUUGUAUUCUAUGUGUAUGUUGAUUUGCCAGUUUGACUGUACCUCUUUGGUGUGGUAGGGGUUAAAGACAUGUGAUUGUACUGAGCUUGUUCAGACUCAGGACUCCAUUUUGUAUUCAUGUGUUUGCAUCAGACCUCAGUGGAGGUGGAUGCAUGUUGCUGUUUGGACUUCAGCAGAGAAGUAUGACUUAUGGACUUCAGUUAUGAUUGCCAUUUAUUUCCAAAGGGAUAUGUGCCCAGAGACUGGAUGUAGUUAUUUCCAAUACAACUCCCUGGAGGGCCACAGGUUGUGCAGGCCUGGUGUAGAGGAACCCUGUGUGGAUCGUUUUCCUAAACCCGCCCAACAUCGAGGGUGGGAUGCUUCACAUCAGCACUGCGAUAUUCGUCUUUCUGCUUUGCAAGUGCUUUGGACUACUGCUGCCACCAGCGGCAUCCGACAAGCCAAUGCUCGGGCGUGAUGGGGGAGGGGGUCCUGCGUGGGUCUAUUUCCCUGCCAGGGGAGGGGGUGCCACGGGGCGCCUCUUUAGCCAGGAGCAUGGAUGGGAAACUCUUCGCCGUGGAACCUGCUGCUUCCUUCUGGAAGCCCCAAACUAGCAAAGCCCUCGAGAGGGAAGGAGAGAGAGGGAAGCGGGAUUUUCCAGGAUGUAAACGCCACUCCGCGAAUCCUCUGGGAUCCGCCAAAGAAAGGAAGAUUGAGGUUGAAAGGAUUUCGUUUUAAUUUAGCCAUUUGGAUCAAGAAUGAGAUCAAGGUGCUGGCUGAAUCCAGGAGGCUUACGGAGCUUCCUUUAUUCGGUGGGAUUAUUUUUUCAAGCAGAAUCAACCGAGAAGAGGCAGGAGAUGAGCCAGCCCUCCUCCUCCUCCUCCUCCUCCCCCCAAUGUCUCCUCCUCCUUCUCCCAACGUCUCCUUUCGCCAGAGAAGAAGCAAGACCUGACAAGAGCUCCACCGCAUUUUUAUUCUGCCUGGGAAAAUUGUGCCCUCCCUCUCCAUUCUGUAGAACAGAGGGAUUUCAGGCAGAAGCAUGGUCGACCAAAUGUUUGGAUACAUGGGUUUCCUUUGGAUCAGAGCAGCAGGGAGGGAGAGAGGGAGGGAGAAAACAAUGCAUGUUCCGCCAAUGGUUAAUGGAGAUUGGUCCACCUGACCCAGUGUGUAACUAACUACACUGUGGAAUAAAUGCAGUUUAACACCACUUUGAGGUCAUAGGAGUUGUAAUUUGGUGGAACACCAUCACAAUUUGGCAUGGGAGACUGAAGGCUUCCUCUACCUUUACAACAAUUUGAGAAUGACGCUAUGUCCGGGUUGCUGUGAGUUUUCUGGACUGUAUGGCCAUGUUCCAGAAGUAUUGUAUCCUGGCGUUUCACCCACAUAAACACCAGGAGAGAAUGCUUCUGGAACAUGGCCAUACCGCCCGGAUCACUCAAGCAACCCAGUGACUCCAACCAUGAAAGCCUUCAAGGACAAUAUGAAGCUAUGUCCAUUCCUGAGGAGUUAAAAAGUAGAUUUGUUAAGGACACUGUCAUGCCACGAGCAGGCAAAACAUUACCUGCUGCCCUGUCUCUUUAAGGUUCCAAAGGGGCGGAGCUUAGCCUUGGCUCCUGCCAGCCUGAAAUGGCAGUUAUUUUUGUCAGUUAGAAUUUGUCAGUUGGUGAAGCACUGGAAGGAAGUGUAGGAAGUAAAAGGAUCACAGAAAUUCACGUCACGUUGGAACUGUAUUCAAAUUAGAUUAAAAAGCCAUAGACUACAGCAAUAGAGAAAGCCAUGUCAACAACACUGCAUUGAAGUCAUCUCAAAGAUACAAAGAAUCCAGUCAUAACAUGACUUUAUACUCUGUGGCAGAACUGCAUAGACUCAAAGAUUUCUUUCCUCACAAGAGACUUCAUAGUGGCAUCAAGAGGAAAAGAGAUCAAUUUUGUCUAUUAAUAAAAUAUUUUGUUUCACAA